UCCCAGGGUCCCGGGUUGGGGGGGUGGAGCAGCACUUCGUCGCCGCGGGGGUGCCGGGACUCCGGCCGCAGUGUCGCCGCCAUCACGGACUUCCUGUGGGACAAGCGCACGGGCCUCGCCGCCAGAACGAUGCCUCAUCCUCGAAGGUACCACUCCUCAGAGCGAGGCAGCCGGGGGAGUUACCGUGAACACUAUCGGAGCCGAAAGCAUAAGCGACGAAGAAGUCGCUCCUGGUCAAGUAGUAGUGACCGGACACGACGGCGUCGGCGAGAGGACAGCUACCAUGUCCGUUCUCGAAGCAGUUAUGAUGAUCGUUCGUCCGACCGGAGGGUGUAUGACCGGCGAUACUGUGGCAGCUACAGACGCAACGAUUAUAGCCGGGAUCGGGGAGAUGCCUACUAUGACACAGACUAUCGGCAUUCCUAUGAAUAUCAGCGGGAGAACAGCAGUUACCGCAGCCAGCGCAGCAGCCGGAGGAAGCACAGACGGCGGAGGAGGCGCAGCCGGACAUUUAGCCGCUCAUCUUCGAUGAAAUCGUUAGCACCUUAGGAGAGGGGACCUUCGGCCGAGUUGUACAAUGUGUUGACCAUCGCAGGGGUGGGGCUCGAGUUGCCCUGAAGAUCAUUAAGAAUGUGGAGAAGUACAAGGAAGCAGCUCGACUUGAGAUCAACGUGCUAGAGAAAAUCAAUGAGAAAGACCCUGACAACAAGAACCUCUGUGUCCAGAUGUUUGACUGGUUUGACUACCAUGGCCACAUGUGUAUCUCCUUUGAGCUUCUGGGCCUUAGCACCUUCGAUUUCCUCAAAGACAACAACUACCUGCCCUACCCCAUCCACCAAGUGCGCCACAUGGCCUUCCAGCUGUGCCAGGCUGUCAAGUUCCUCCAUGAUAACAAGCUGACACAUACAGACCUCAAGCCUGAAAAUAUUCUGUUUGUGAAUUCAGACUAUGAGCUCACCUACAACCUAGAGAAGAAGCGAGAUGAGCGCAGUGUGAAGAGCACAGCUGUGCGGGUGGUAGACUUUGGCAGUGCCACCUUUGACCAUGAGCACCAUAGCACCAUUGUCUCCACUCGCCAUUACCGAGCACCAGAAGUCAUCCUUGAGUUGGGCUGGUCACAGCCUUGUGAUGUGUGGAGUAUAGGCUGCAUCAUCUUUGAAUACUAUGUGGGAUUCACCCUCUUCCAGACCCAUGACAACAGAGAGCAUCUAGCCAUGAUGGAAAGGAUCUUGGGUCCUAUCCCUUCCCGGAUGAUCCGAAAGACAAGAAAGCAGAAAUAUUUUUACCGGGGUCGCCUGGAUUGGGAUGAGAACACAUCAGCUGGGCGCUAUGUUCGUGAGAACUGCAAACCGCUGCGGCGGUAUCUGACCUCAGAGGCAGAGGAACACCACCAGCUCUUCGAUCUGAUUGAAAGCAUGCUAGAGUAUGAACCAGCUAAGCGGCUGACCUUGGGUGAAGCCCUUCAGCAUCCUUUCUUCGCCCGCCUUCGGGCUGAGCCGCCCAACAAGUUGUGGGACUCCAGUCGGGAUAUCAGUCGGUGACGAUCAGGCCCUGGGCCCCCCUGCAUCUUUUAUAGCAGUGGGUGUCCAGUCCAGGACACUGGUGCUUUUUUAUACAAGAGAACGAGCCAGAGUUCACUCCUUCCUCCUGGCUCUCUAUAUACCUGUGAAUAUGUGAAAUAGUGUAAAUAUGAAAGAACUUGUACUUAUCACUUCAACCCCUGCCUUGUACAUAAUACUAUUCCAUCCACACAGUUUCCACCCUCACCUGCCCCCUCAUACGGAGUUGGAUGGGGGCCGAGUGAGGUAACCAGGUGGCAUCUACCCCAUGUUUUAUAAGGAAUUUUGUACAGUCUUUGUGAAAUAAAAUAACGUGCUUCAUUUGA
Molecule: small RNA, 1885 nt
Filed under: Pan troglodytes (chimpanzee)
Lineage: Eukaryota; Metazoa; Chordata; Mammalia; Primates; Hominidae
Description: processed transcript
Source: RNAcentral